This 673-nucleotide ribosomal RNA is filed under the name uncultured bacterium. Its description in RNAcentral is "bacterial SSU rRNA". It matches the Rfam family "Bacterial small subunit ribosomal RNA", at positions 29 to 698 of the family's 1533-position model. The record is from RNAcentral.
UUAGACGCUGGCGGCGUGCUUAACACAUGCAAGUCGAGCGAAGCAUUUUACUUUGAUUCUUUCGGGAAGAAGAGUAUUAUGACUUAGCGGCGGACGGGUGAGUAACGCGUGGGUAACCUACCUCAUACAGGGGGAUAACAGUUAGAAAUGACUGCUAAUACCGCAUAAGACUACAGUAUCGCAUGGUACAGUAGAAAAAACCGAGGUGGUAUGAGAUGGACCCGCGUCUGAUUAGCUAGUUGGUAAGGUAAUGGCUUACCAAGGCGACGAUCAGUAGCCGGCCUGAGAGGGUGAUCGGCCACAUUGGGACUGAGACACGGCCCAAACUCCUACGGGAGGCAGCAGUGGGGAAUAUUGCACAAUGGGGGAAACCCUGAUGCAGCGACGCCGCGUGAAGGAUGAAGUAUUUCGGUAUGUAAACUUCUAUCAGCAGGGAAGAAAAUGACGGUACCUGACUAAGAAGCCCCGGCUAACUACGUGCCAGCAGCCGCGGUAAUACGUAGGGGGCAAGCGUUAUCCGGAUUUACUGGGUGUUAAGGGAGCGUAGACGGUUAGAUAAGUCUGAUGUUGAAAUUCCAAGGCUCACCUUGGGGACUGCAUUGGAAACUGUUUAACUAGAAUGUCCGAGAAGUUAGUGGAAUUCCUAGUGUAGCGGUGAAAUGCGUAGAAUAUU